RNAcentral lists this ribosomal RNA (493 nucleotides) under uncultured bacterium. Its description in RNAcentral is "bacterial SSU rRNA". It matches the Rfam family "Bacterial small subunit ribosomal RNA", at positions 28 to 518 of the family's 1533-position model. The record is from RNAcentral.
GACGAACGCUGGCGGCGUGCUUAAUACACGCAAGUCAACUGAACUUAAGAUAGCAAUAUUUUAAGGGUAGGUGGCGCACGGGUGAGUAACACGUAGGUAAUCUGCCUUUAGGUCUGACACAACCCCGAGAAAUCGGGGCUAAUAUCAGAUGAUGCAGCGGCUCGACAUCGAGACAGUUGUUAAACCUUCGGGGCCUAAAGAUGAGCCUGCGUCUGAUUAGGUAGUUGGCGGAGUAAAAGCCCACCAAGCCUGCGAUCAGUAGCUGGUCUGAGAGGAUGAUCAGCCACACUGGAACUGAGACACGGUCCAGACUCCUACGGGAGGCAGCAGUAAGGAAUAUUGCUCAAUGGCCGAAAGGCUGAAGCAGCAACGCCGCGUGGAGGAUGAAAUACUUUUGUAUGUAAACUCCUGUAAGAAGGGAAAAUAUUCCGAUUUACCGGGAUUGAUUGUACCUUCAGAGUAAGCCCCGGCUAACUACGUGCCAGCAGCCGAC